This 73-nucleotide transfer RNA is filed under the name Craugastor rhodopis (polymorphic robber frog). Its description in RNAcentral is "tRNA-Asx". The record is from RNAcentral. Lineage: Eukaryota; Metazoa; Chordata; Amphibia; Anura; Craugastoridae.
UAGAGUGAGGCUCACUGGAUAGAGUUUUUAGCUGUUAACUAAAUUAUUGUAGGAUCAAGGCCUACCAUUCUAG